CCUACGGGAGGCAGCAGUGGGGAAUAUUGCACAAUGGGGGAAACCCUGAUGCAGCGACGCCGCGUGAGUGAAGAAGUAUUUCUGUAUGUAAAGCUCUAUCAGCAGGGAAGAAGAAAGACGGUACCUGACUAAGAAGCCCCGGCUAACUACGUGCCAACAGCCGCGGUAAUAGGUAGGGGGCAAGCGUUAUCCGGAUUUACUGGGUUUAAAGGGAGCGUAGACGGCUGUGCAAGUCUGAGGUGAAAGCCCAGGGCUCAACCCUGGGACUGCUUUGGAAACUGUGGAGCUAGAGUGCUGGAGAGGUAAGUGGAAUUCCUAGUGUAGCGGUGAAAUGCGUAGAUAUUAGGAGGAACACCAGUGGCGAAGGCGGCUUACUGGACAGUAACUGACGUUGAGGCUCGAAAGCGUGGGGAGCAAACAGGAUUAGAUACCCUUGUAGUC
This 441-nucleotide ribosomal RNA is filed under the name uncultured bacterium. Its description in RNAcentral is "partial 16S ribosomal RNA". It matches the Rfam family "Bacterial small subunit ribosomal RNA", at positions 338 to 795 of the family's 1533-position model. The record is from RNAcentral.